CAGCAGCCGCGGGAAUACGAAGGGGGCUAGCGUUGUUCGGAAUUACUGGGCGUAAAGCGCACGUAGGCGGAUUUUUAAGUCAGGGGUGAAAUCCCGAGGCUCAACCUCGGAACUGCCUUUGAUACUGGAGAUCUUGAGUUCGGAAGAGGUUGGUGGAACAGCUAGUGUAGAGGUGAAAUUCGUAGAUAUUAGCUAGAACACCAGUGGCGAAGGCGGCCAACUGGUCCGAUACUGACGCUGAGGUGCGAAAGCGUGGGGAGCAAACAGGAUUAGAUACCCCUGUAGUCCCUGUCUCUUAUAC
RNAcentral lists this ribosomal RNA (301 nucleotides) under uncultured bacterium. Its description in RNAcentral is "partial 16S ribosomal RNA". It matches the Rfam family "Bacterial small subunit ribosomal RNA", at positions 509 to 807 of the family's 1533-position model. The record is from RNAcentral.